GGCAACCUGGCCGAGCGGUUAAGGCGCUACGUUCAGGUGUUCUCUCUGCAGAUAUAUCUUCUCGUAGUCUCGAAAGGGGCGUGUGUUCGAAUCACACGGUUGUCA
Gnomoniopsis sp. IMI 355080 is the source of this 105-nucleotide non-coding RNA. The record is from the annotation of a GenBank genome assembly. Lineage: Eukaryota; Fungi; Ascomycota; Sordariomycetes; Diaporthales; Gnomoniaceae.